GCUCAGGAUGAACGCUGGCGGCGCGCCUAACACAUGCAAGUCGAACGAGCGAGAGAGAGCUUGCUUUCUCAAGCGAGUGGCGAACGGGUGAGUAACGCGUGAGGAACCUGCCUCAAAGAGGGGGACAACAGUUGGAAACGACUGCUAAUACCGCAUAAGCCCACGACCCGGCAUCGGGUAGAGGGAAAAGGAGCAAUCCGCUUUGAGAUGGCCUCGCGUCCGAUUAGCUAGUUGGUGAGGUAAUGGCCCACCAAGGCGACGAUCGGUAGCCGGACUGAGAGGUUGAACGGCCACAUUGGGACUGAGACACGGCCCAGACUCCUACGGGAGGCAGCAGUA
RNAcentral lists this ribosomal RNA (339 nucleotides) under uncultured bacterium. RNAcentral describes it as "bacterial SSU rRNA". It matches the Rfam family "Bacterial small subunit ribosomal RNA", at positions 22 to 356 of the family's 1533-position model. The record is from RNAcentral.